This 1059-nucleotide ribosomal RNA is filed under the name Triticum aestivum (bread wheat). RNAcentral's name for it is "partial small subunit ribosomal RNA". The record is from RNAcentral. Lineage: Eukaryota; Viridiplantae; Streptophyta; Magnoliopsida; Poales; Poaceae.
AUGGCGUCGAGCAGGACAGCAGCGAUGCUGGUCCUCGUGGCCGCGGUGCUGUGCCCUGCAGCCUUGUCCAAGCCGUCGGCGGCGUUCAUCUCUAUGCCCACCGACCACGUCGGUGGCCGUAUUCCUCCCGUCUCCCCCGCCGAUGGACUCGCCUUCGACUUCCAUGCCGACUCCUGCCCGCAGUUGCAGGACGUGGUGCGCUCCGCCAUGGAGACCGCGCUCCACAGCGAGAUCGCCCUCGCCGCCGGCCUCCUUCGCAUCUUCUUCCACGACUGCUUCCCUCAGGGCUGUGACGCGUCGGUCCUUCUGACGGGAGACGGCAGCGAGCUCCAGUUGCCGCCGAAUCUGACGCUCCAACCGCGGGCGCUGCAGCUCAUUGAGUCCAUCCGUGCCCAGGUGCACGCCGCCUGCGGACCCGUCGUCUCCUGCGCCGACAUCACGGCCCUCGCCACCCGCGAUGCCGUUGCCUUCUCCGGGGGUCAGGGCUACGACGUGCCGCUCGGCAGGCUCGACAGCCUCGCGCCGGCGCCGAGCUCGGCCGUCUUCGAUCUCCCCCAGGCCAGCUCCAACGCCUCCACGCUCAUCGACGUCUUCGAUACCCGCAACCUCGACAAUGUCGACCUCGUCGCGCUCUCAGGUGGCCACACCAUCGGGAAGGGCCACUGCAGCUCCUUCUCCAACCGCUUCUCCGAGGACUCCGACUUCGUCCGAAGCCUCGCCUCCAACUGCUCCAGCGACUUCAACCGGCUGCAGGACCUCGACGUCACCACCCCGGACGUGUUCGACAUCAAGUACUUCACCAACCUGCAACAGGGAAAGGGGGUGUUCACCUCCGACCAGAAGCUCACCGCGGACUGGCGCACCGAAUGGGUUGUCAACGGCUUUGCCGGGAACCACUGGUGGUUCUUCGGCCAGUUUGCUGCUUCCAUGACCAAGCUCGGGAAUCUCCAGGGGCCCCAAGGAAACGUCGGCGAGAUCCGUCGCAACAGCUGCUUCGUGCGCAAUGGACAGAGCAUCCUCACCACCACCAGCGACGAGGGGCUCGCCGCCUCUGCUUGA